UACAGAGGGUGGCAAGCGUUGCUCGGAAUUAUUGGGCGUAAAGGGGUAGGUAGGUGGUCUCAUUUGUCAGGGGUGAAAGCCCUGGGCUUAAACCCAGGAAGUGCCCUUGAAACGGUGGGACUAGAGUAUUGGAGAGGGUCGUGGAAUUCCCGGUGUAGCGGAUGGAAAUGCGUAGAAGAUCGGGAGGAACAUCUGGAGGCGAAGGCGGCGACCGUGGACAAUGACUGACACUCAACGUACGAAAGCGUGGGGAUCAAACAGGAUAGAAACCCUGGU
RNAcentral lists this ribosomal RNA (276 nucleotides) under uncultured bacterium. Its description in RNAcentral is "partial 16S ribosomal RNA". It matches the Rfam family "Bacterial small subunit ribosomal RNA", at positions 524 to 791 of the family's 1533-position model. The record is from RNAcentral.